AAGGAAUAUUGGUCAAUGGGCGAAAGCCUGAACCAGCCAUGCCGCGUGCAGGAAGACGGCCCUACGGGUUGUAAACUGCUUUUAUACCGGAAUAAACCUAUCUACGUGUAGAUAGCUGAAUGUACGGUAGGAAUAAGGAUCGGCUAACUCCGUGCCAGCAGCCGCGGUAAUACGGAGGAUCCAAGCGUUAUCCGGAUUUAUUGGGUUUAAAGGGUGCGUAGGCGGCCUAUUAAGUCAGGGGUGAAAGACGGUAGCUUAACUAUCGCAGUGCCUUUGAUACUGAUGGGCUUGAAUGUACUUGAAGUAGGCGGAAUGUGACAAGUAGCGGUGAAAUGCAUAGAUAUGUCACAGAACACCGAUUGCGAAGGCAGCUUACUAAAGUAUGAUUGACGCUGAGGCACGAAAGCGUGGGGAUCAAAC
This 420-nucleotide ribosomal RNA is filed under the name uncultured bacterium. RNAcentral describes it as "bacterial SSU rRNA". It matches the Rfam family "Bacterial small subunit ribosomal RNA", at positions 356 to 773 of the family's 1533-position model. The record is from RNAcentral.